GACGAACGCUGGCGGCGUGCCUAAUACAUGCAAGUAGAACGCUGAAGGAGGAGCUUGCUUCUCUGGAUGAGUUGCGAACGGGUGAGUAACGCGUAGGUAACCUGCCUGGUAGCGGGGGAUAACUAUUGGAAACGAUAGCUAAUACCGCAUAAUAGUAGAUGUUGCAUGACAUUUACUUAAAAGGUGCAAUUGCAUCACUACCAGAUGGACCUGCGUUGUAUUAGCUAGUUGGUGGGGUAACGGCUCACCAAGGCGACGAUACAUAGCCGACCUGAGAGGGUGAUCGGCCACACUGGGACUGAGACACGGCCCAGACUCCUACGGGAGGCAGCAGUAGGGAAUCUUCGGCAAUGGACGAAAGUCUGACCGAGCAACGCCGCGUGAGUGAAGAAGGUUUUCGGAUCGUAAAGCUCGGUUGUAAGAGAAGAACGAGUGUGAGAGUGGAAAGUUCACACUGUGACGGUAUCUUACCAGAAAGAGACGGCUAACUACGUG
This 495-nucleotide ribosomal RNA is filed under the name uncultured bacterium. RNAcentral's name for it is "partial 16S ribosomal RNA". It matches the Rfam family "Bacterial small subunit ribosomal RNA", at positions 28 to 507 of the family's 1533-position model. The record is from RNAcentral.